UACGGAGGGUGCAAGCGUUAUCCGGAUUUACUGGGUUUAAAGGGUGCGUAGGCGGGCCCUUAAGUCAGUGGUGAAAGCUCCGAGCUUAACUCGGAAACUGCCAUUGAUACUAUAGGUCUUGAAUUCGGUCGAGGUUGGCGGAAUGUGUCGUGUAGCGGUGAAAUGCUUAGAUAUGACACAGAACAUCGAUUGCGAAGGCAGCUAGCUAGACCGACAUUGACGCUGAGGCACGAAAGCGUGGGGAUCAAACAGG
Molecule: ribosomal RNA, 253 nt
Filed under: uncultured bacterium
Lineage: Bacteria
Description: partial 16S ribosomal RNA
Rfam family: Bacterial small subunit ribosomal RNA
Source: RNAcentral